This 476-nucleotide ribosomal RNA is filed under the name uncultured bacterium. Its description in RNAcentral is "partial 16S ribosomal RNA". It matches the Rfam family "Bacterial small subunit ribosomal RNA", at positions 28 to 523 of the family's 1533-position model. The record is from RNAcentral.
GACGAACGCUGGCGGCGUGCCUAACACAUGCAAGUCGAGCGAUGAAACCCUUCGGGGUGGAUUAGCGGCGGACGGGUGAGUAACACGUGGGUAACCUGCCUCAAAGAGGGGGAUAGCCUCCCGAAAGGGAGAUUAAUACCGCAUAGCAUUAUUUCUUCGCAUGAAGAGAUAAUCAAAGGAGUAAUCCGCUUUGAGAUGGACCCGCGGCGCAUUAGCUAGCUGGUGAGGUAAUGGCUCACCAAGGCGACGAUGCGUAGCCGACCUGAGAGGGUGAUCGGCCACAUUGGAACUGAGAUACGGUCCAGACUCCUACGGGAGGCAGCAGUGGGGAAUAUUGCGCAAUGGGGGAAACCCUGACGCAGCAACGCCGCGUGGGUGAAGAAGGCCUUCGGGUUGUAAAGCUCUGUCUUCUGGGACGAUAAUGACGGUACCAGAGGAGGAAGCCACGGCUAACUACGUGCCAGCCGCCGCCGUAA